Long non-coding RNA from Pipistrellus kuhlii (Kuhl's pipistrelle), 549 nucleotides. RefSeq lists it as uncharacterized. The transcript is spliced from 2 exons. The record is from RefSeq and is a predicted model, not a curated record. Lineage: Eukaryota; Metazoa; Chordata; Mammalia; Chiroptera; Vespertilionidae.
CUUGCAGUUGCUCUCCCACUGGGCCCAGCUUUCCCCCGGCUUGGAGGCGUCGAUCGGGCUGGAGGAGUCGAUCGGGUUGGAGGCGUUGAUCGGGUUGGAGGCGUCGAUCGGGUUGGAGUUGAUCGGGUUGGAGGAGUCGAUCGGACAAGAGGAGAGGAUGCUGGGCUUUUGGAUGUGGGGAACAGAUUGCAAGUGGGCGACUCCUGAAACACACACACAGAGAGAGAGAAAAAUAAAGAGCUAAAAUGGAAAAAGAAUCUGUUCUGCUGGCUGAGGGAUAGAGGCGGAGAGUUGCCUAGAUCCCAGUGAGGAAGGGCAGCAGCUAGCUGCCAACUUCAUCGUCACCACCAACACCAUUUAUUGAGAGCUUACUGGUGGUAUAGACGUUACAGAGCUCUGCACAGACACAGCGGAAGGGGCAUGGCUUAUGGAAUUUCAUUUAACCCCCACAAUCCUGUGAGGCAGAAUCUCACUCUCCCCAUUUUACCAACAAGGAACUACUGUCCUGUGUCCGGGGCCACACAUCCAACCCAGAGCCGCUAGACUCAC